This 1728-nucleotide unclassified non-coding RNA is filed under the name Amazonocrinis meghalayensis MEG8-PS. RNAcentral describes it as "bacterial SSU rRNA". The stretch from base 1 to 1165 matches the Rfam family "Bacterial small subunit ribosomal RNA", at positions 356 to 1533 of the family's 1533-position model. Lineage: Bacteria; Bacillati; Cyanobacteriota; Cyanophyceae; Nostocales; Nostocaceae. The record is from RNAcentral.
GGGGAAUUUUCCGCAAUGGGCGAAAGCCUGACGGAGCAAUACCGCGUGAGGGAGGAAGGCUCUUGGGUUGUAAACCUCUUUUCUCAGGGAAGAACACAAUGACGGUACCUGAGGAAUCAGCAUCGGCUAACUCCGUGCCAGCAGCCGCGGUAAUACGGAGGAUGCAAGCGUUAUCCGGAAUGAUUGGGCGUAAAGCGUCCGCAGGUGGUGAUGUAAGUCUGCUGUCAAAGCGUCUAGCUCAACUAGAUACAGGCAGUGGAAACUACAUGACUAGAGUGCGUUCGGGGCAGAGGGAAUUCCUGGUGUAGCGGUGAAAUGCGUAGAUAUCAGGAAGAACACCGGUGGCGAAAGCGCUCUGCUAGGCCGCAACUGACACUGAGGGACGAAAGCUAGGGGAGCGAAUGGGAUUAGAUACCCCAGUAGUCCUAGCCGUAAACGAUGGAUACUAGGCGUGGCUUGUAUCGACCCGAGCCGUGCCGUAGCUAACGCGUUAAGUAUCCCGCCUGGGGAGUACGCACGCAAGUGUGAAACUCAAAGGAAUUGACGGGGGCCCGCACAAGCGGUGGAGUAUGUGGUUUAAUUCGAUGCAACGCGAAGAACCUUACCAAGACUUGACAUGUCGCGAAUUGGAGUGAAAGCUUCAAGUGCCUUAGGGAGCGCGAACACAGGUGGUGCAUGGCUGUCGUCAGCUCGUGUCGUGAGAUGUUGGGUUAAGUCCCGCAACGAGCGCAACCCUCGUUUUUAGUUGCCAGCAUUAAGUUGGGCACUCUAGAGAGACUGCCGGUGACAAACCGGAGGAAGGUGGGGAUGACGUCAAGUCAGCAUGCCCCUUACGUCUUGGGCUACACACGUACUACAAUGCUCCGGACAGAGGGCAGCGAGCAUGCGAAUGCAAGCAAAUCCCGAAAACCGGAGCUCAGUUCAGAUCGCAGGCUGCAACUCGCCUGCGUGAAGGAGGAAUCGCUAGUAAUUGCAGGUCAGCAUACUGCAGUGAAUUCGUUCCCGGGCCUUGUACACACCGCCCGUCACACCAUGGAAGCUGGCAACGCCCGAAGUCAUUACUCCAACCGUCAAAAAGAGGAGGAUGCCUAAGGCAGUGCUGGUGACUGGGGUGAAGUCGUAACAAGGUAGCCGUACCGGAAGGUGUGGCUGGAUCACCUCCUUUUAGGGAGACCUACCCAACUUUGAGAUCGAAAGCAAAGCGCUUGUAGAGACAAAGAUGGUCUACUCUAGGUCGGUCGUGGGACUUGAGGUAAGCUUUCAAACUAUAUUUGGUUCGUAAUUGGGCUAUUAGCUCAGGUGGUUAGAGCGCACCCCUGAUAAGGGUGAGGUCCCUGGUUCGAGUCCAGGAUGGCCCACCUGAAAGUAAUUAGUAAUUACUAAUUCGUAAUUCGUAAUUAACUACGAAUUAAGAAUUACGAAUUACGAAUUGUAUCUGGGGGUUUAGCUCAGUUGGUAGAGCGCCUGCUUUGCAAGCAGGAUGUCAGCGGUUCGAGUCCGCUAACCUCCACCUGUAAAAAGUAGAGCAUUAAUUCAGCAACAUGACAUUGAGAUAGUGAUGUCAGACUGCUGGGUAUAAAUCUCAGCCAGAACCUUGAAAACUGCAUAGUGACGCGAAAAUAGCAGGCAGACACAGACAUUCAAGUAAUGAAUUGUGUUUGCAGGUGAACACCAAUGUAAGUGGUCAAGCUAAUAAGGGCUCAUGGUGGAUACCUAGGCACACAGAGA